UGAGGAAUAUUGGUCAAUGGGCGCGAGCCUGAACCAGCCAAGUCGCGUGAGGGAUGGCGGUCCUACGGAUUGCAAACCUCUUUUGCCGGGGAGCAAGCGUGCGUUCGUGAACGCGCGUCGAGAGUACCCGGAGAAAAAGCAUCGGCUAACUCCGUG
This 156-nucleotide ribosomal RNA is filed under the name uncultured bacterium. RNAcentral describes it as "partial 16S ribosomal RNA". It matches the Rfam family "Bacterial small subunit ribosomal RNA", at positions 355 to 507 of the family's 1533-position model. The record is from RNAcentral.